GGCUGGUCCGAAGGUAGUGAGUUAUCUCAACUGAUUGUUCAGUCAGUUGCAGAUCAAACUCCUUGUUCUACUAUUUCCCCGCUUCUCACUACUGCACUUGCCUAGUCUUAA
Callithrix jacchus (white-tufted-ear marmoset) is the source of this 111-nucleotide Y RNA. It matches the Rfam family "Y RNA". From Rfam's summary of the family: Y RNAs are components of the Ro ribonucleoprotein particle (Ro RNP), in association with Ro60 and La proteins. The Y RNAs and Ro60 and La proteins are well conserved, but the function of the Ro RNP is not known. The record is from Ensembl. Lineage: Eukaryota; Metazoa; Chordata; Mammalia; Primates; Cebidae.